RNAcentral lists this ribosomal RNA (468 nucleotides) under uncultured bacterium. RNAcentral describes it as "partial 16S ribosomal RNA". It matches the Rfam family "Bacterial small subunit ribosomal RNA", at positions 28 to 507 of the family's 1533-position model. The record is from RNAcentral.
GACGAACGCUGGCGGCGUGCUUAACACAUGCAAGUCGAACGGAAAGGCCCUGCUUUUGUGGGGUGCUCGAGUGGCGAACGGGUGAGUAACACGUGAGUAACCUGCCCUUGACUUUGGGAUAACUUCAGGAAACUGGGGCUAAUACCGGAUAGGAGCUCCUGCUGCAUGGUGGGGGUUGGAAAGUUUCGGCGGUAGGGGAUGGACUCGCGGCUUAUCAGCUUGUUGGUGGGGUAGUGGCUUACCAAGGCUUUGACGGAUAGCCGGCCUGAGAGGGUGACCGGCCACAUUGGUACUGAGAUACGGCCCAGACUGCUACGGGAGGCAGCAGUGGGGAAUAUUGCACAAUGGGCGCAAGCCUGAGGCAGCAACGCCGCGGGCGGGAUGACGGCCUUCGGGGUGUAAACCGCUUUCGCCUGUGACGAAGCGUGAGUGACGGUAAUGGGUAAAGAAGCACCGGCUAACUACGUG